RNAcentral lists this ribosomal RNA (468 nucleotides) under uncultured bacterium. RNAcentral describes it as "partial 16S ribosomal RNA". It matches the Rfam family "Bacterial small subunit ribosomal RNA", at positions 28 to 507 of the family's 1533-position model. The record is from RNAcentral.
GACGAACGCUGGCGGCGUGCUUAACACAUGCAAGUCGAACGGAAAGGCCCUGCUUUUGUGGGGUGCUCGAGUGGCGAACGGGUGAGUAACACGUGAGUAACCUGCCCUUGACUUUGGGAUAACUUCAGGAAACUGGGGCUAAUACCGGAUAGGAGCUCCUGCUGCAUGGUGGGGGUUGGAAAGUUUCGGCGGUUGGGGAUGGACUCGCGGCUUAUCAGCUUGUUGGUGGGGUAGUGGCUUACCAAGGCUUUGACGGGUAGCCGGCCUGAGAGGGUGACCGGCCACAUUGGGACUGAGAUACGGCCCAGACUCCUACGGGAGGCAGCAGUGGGGAAUAUUGCACAAUGGGCGGAGGCCUGAUGCAGCAACGCCGCGUGCAGGAUGACGGCCUUCGGGUUGUAAACCGCUUUCGCCUGUGACGAAGCGUGAGUGACGGUAAUGGGUAAAGAAGCACCGGCUAACUACGUG